AAGGAAAGGCUUGUUAGGGAAGUCACAUCUCAGCUGAGAUUUGAAAGGUAAGUUGGAGGAAGCCUAGUGAAGAAAGCUGAAGGAGGAAUGUAGAGCGUUCAGGAUAAAGCAGCAGCCCGUGGUAAGCUUAGAAUCAUCAUCCACCACGACAAGAUGCAAGAUAGGUAAUCAAUUCAGUACAUCAGAAUCACUGGCUAUGAAGAGAAGAUUCAAGCAGAGACCUGCAGGAUCAAACACUAGCUGAAUUGCUGGGGUUGCAAAGAGGAAUAAAACCGUCACCUGCUUGGAGGACGUCAAAAUCUACAAAGAAGAGGAGUUUUGAAGUUUUGUGACUGGGACUGGCUUUCCUGUUCUUCAGCUUGCAGAAGGCCUGUUGUGAGACUUCGCCUUGUGAUCGUAUUCAUCUCAUGCCAAGCCUCUACGCCAAUCCAUCCUGAAUUAGAUGCUGUGCUCUUAUAUGCCGCUGUGCAUUUGGUGAAGCAAGGCAGGGAGUGGUGACUCAUGCCUGUAAUUCCAGAGCUUUGGGAGGCUGAGGAAGAAGAGUCUCUUCAGGCCAGAGGUUCAAGACCAGCCUGGGCAACAUAGCAAGACUUCCUCUCUACAAGAAACAAAAAAGUAGCUAGGCAUGAUGGCACACACCUGUAGUCCUAGCUGCUCAGGAGACUGGAGGAGGAGGAUCAUUGAACUCAGGAGUUUGAAGCAGCAGUGAGCUAUCAUCACUCCACUGCACCCCAGCCUGGGUGACAGGGUGAGACCCUGUCUUUAAAAAAAAUUAAUAAUUUUAAUAAUAAAUAAGUAAAUAAAUGAGUGAAGCAGUAAAAAGCUAUAUUUCUAUAGGCCAGUUUGAUGACUAGUGAGUUUCACUGUAAGGUUACUGGGAGUUGUUGGAUGACUCUCUAAUGUCCAUGUCUAUAGGUUUUUAUUCUUGGGAGAUUAUGUUUCCCCAAAAAGGAACUCUAAUUAUCUUGCCUGGAAGGUAAAAGCCUUGAUACCAGGAUUCUGGAAGCA
RNAcentral lists this long non-coding RNA (1008 nucleotides) under Homo sapiens (human). RNAcentral describes it as "HSALNT0193688". The record is from RNAcentral. Lineage: Eukaryota; Metazoa; Chordata; Mammalia; Primates; Hominidae.